UACGGAGGAUGCGAGCGUUAUCCGGAUUUAUUGGGUUUAAAGGGUGCGUAGGCGGGCAUUUAAGCCGGCGGUCAAAUGUCGGGGCUCAACCCCGGCCUGCCGUCGGAACUGGGUGCCUUGAGUGGGCGAGAAGUAUGCGGAAUGCGUGGUGUAGCGGUGAAAUGCAUAGAUAUCACACAGAACACCGAUUGCGAAGGCAUCUCACGAAUCCGCGAUUGACGCUGAUGCACGAAAGCGUGGGUAUCAAACAGG
RNAcentral lists this ribosomal RNA (252 nucleotides) under uncultured Bacteroidales bacterium. RNAcentral's name for it is "partial 16S ribosomal RNA". It matches the Rfam family "Bacterial small subunit ribosomal RNA", at positions 524 to 776 of the family's 1533-position model. The record is from RNAcentral. Lineage: Bacteria; Pseudomonadati; Bacteroidota; Bacteroidia; Bacteroidales.